This 1031-nucleotide ribosomal RNA is filed under the name uncultured bacterium. RNAcentral describes it as "bacterial SSU rRNA". It matches the Rfam family "Bacterial small subunit ribosomal RNA", at positions 8 to 1040 of the family's 1533-position model. The record is from RNAcentral.
AGAGUUUGAUCAUGGCUCAGGAUGAACGCUAGCGGGAGGCUUAACACAUGCAAGUCGAGGGGCAUCACGAGGUAGCAAUACUUUGGUGGCGACCGGCGCACGGGUGAGUAACGCGUAUGCAACCUACCCUGUACAGUGGGAUAACCCGGAGAAAUUCGGACUAAUACCGCAUAAAGAUAUUUUGAGGCAUCUUAAGAUAUUUAAAGCUUAGGUGGUACGGGAUGGGCAUGCGUAACAUUAGCUGGUUGGUAGGGUAACGGCCUACCAAGGCGAUGAUGUUUAGGGGACCUGAGAGGGUGAUCCCCCACACUGGUACUGAGACACGGACCAGACUCCUACGGGAGGCAGCAGUGAGGAAUAUUGGUCAAUGGGCGGAAGCCUGAACCAGCCAUCCCGCGUGCAGGAAGACAGCCCUAUGGGUUGUAAACUGCUUUUCCAGUGGGCGAAACACUCGUACGUGUACGAGAUUGACGGUACACUGGGAAUAAGCAUCGGCUAACUCCGUGCCAGCAGCCGCGGUAAUACGGAGGAUGCAAGCGUUAUCCGGAUUUAUUGGGUUUAAAGGGUGCGUAGGCGGAUGAAUAAGUCAGUGGUGAAAGGCUGCAGCUUAACUGUAGACUUGCCGUUGAUACUGUUUAUCUUGAGUAUGGUCAAGGCAGGCGGAAUGUGUAAUGUAGCGGUGAAAUGCUUAGAUAUUACACAGAACACCGAUUGCGAAGGCAGCUUGCUGGGCCAUUACUGACGCUGAUGCACGAAAGCGUGGGGAGCGAACAGGAUUAGAUACCCUGGUAGUCCACGCCGUAAACUAUGAUCACUAGCUGUUGGCGAUACACAGUCAGCGGCAAAGCAAAAGCAUUAAGUGAUCCACCUGGGAGUACGGCCGCAAGGCUGAAACUCAAUGGAAUUGACGGGGGCCCGCACAAGCGGAGGAACAUGUGGUUUAAUUCGAUGAUACGCGAGGAACCUACCUGGGCUUAAAUGUAGAGUGCAUGAGGUAGAAAUACUUCUUUCCUCGGGACUUUCUGCAGGUG